This is a small nuclear RNA of Tursiops truncatus (common bottlenose dolphin), 107 nucleotides long. Lineage: Eukaryota; Metazoa; Chordata; Mammalia; Artiodactyla; Delphinidae. The record is from Ensembl.
GCGUUCACACUGGCAGCACAUGUACUAAAACUGGAACAAUACAGAGAAGAUUAGCACGGCCCCUGCACAAGGAUGACAGGCAAAUUCACGAAGCGUUCCACACUUAA